UACGUAGGGUGCGAGCGUUAAUCGGAAUUACUGGGCGUAAAGCGUGCGCAGGCGGUUUUGUAAGCCAGAUGUGAAAUCCCCGGGCUUAACCUGGGAAUGGCAUUUGGGACUGCAAGGCUGGAGUUUGGCAGAGGAGACUGGAAUUCCCGGUGUAGCAGUGAAAUGCGUAGAUAUCGGGAGGAAUACCGAUGGCGAAGGCAGGUCUCUGGGCCGAUACUGACGCUGAGGAGCGAAAGCGUGGGGAGCGAACAGG
RNAcentral lists this ribosomal RNA (253 nucleotides) under uncultured bacterium. Its description in RNAcentral is "partial 16S ribosomal RNA". It matches the Rfam family "Bacterial small subunit ribosomal RNA", at positions 524 to 776 of the family's 1533-position model. The record is from RNAcentral.